Molecule: ribosomal RNA, 593 nt
Filed under: uncultured Phialocephala
Lineage: Eukaryota; Fungi; Ascomycota; Leotiomycetes; Helotiales
Description: eukaryotic LSU rRNA
Rfam family: 5.8S ribosomal RNA (bases 232-385)
Source: RNAcentral
CUUGGUCAUUUAGAGGAAGUAAAAGUCGUAACAAGGUUUCCGUAGGUGAACCUGCGGAAGGGUCAUUAAAGAAUUGCCCCAUUUUUUGAAAUGGGUUCUAUUCCCAAACCGUGUAUACAUACCUUUGUUGCUUUGGCAAGCCGUCCUUCGGGCGCAGCUUCGGCUGAGAGCGCUUGCCAGAGGACCCCAACUCUUUUGUUUAGUGAUGUCUGAGUACUAUCUAAUAGUUAAAACUUUCAACAACGGAUCUCUUGGUUCUGGCAUCGAUGAAGAACGCAGCGAAAUGCGAUAAGUAAUGUGAAUUGCAGAAUUCAGUGAAUCAUCGAAUCUUUGAACGCACAUUGCGCCCUGUGGUAUUCCGCAGGGCAUGCCUGUUCGAGCGUCAUUUAACCACUCACGCCUAGCGUGGUAUUGGGGCACGCGGUCUCCGCGGCCCUCAAAAUCAGUGGCGGCGCCGGUGGGCUCUAAGCGUAGUACAUACUCCCGCUAUAGAGUUCCCCCCGGUGGCUCGCCAGAACCCCCAAUUUUUUACAGGUUGACCUCGGAUCAGGUAGGGAUACCCGCUGAACUUAAGCAUAUCAAUAAGCGGAGGA